UAGGGUUUCACAAUUCUUAAAUGCUCAACAAUUUCUCUUUUUUCUUCUCUCUCGGUGGUGAUUGUUCUUCAUUUCUCUUUCUCUAUGCCCUUUUCUGGUUGGGUCAUCGGCGGUCUCUAAUUCGCUUGGUGCAGGUCGGGAACUGCUUCGCUUCUUGAUUUUGUGCUCUUAAAUUUCCUCUGCUGUAAGAGGAAAUAAUCGCGCGAAUUGGAUCCCGCCUUGCAUCAACUGAAUCCGAGACCGCGAUGAAGAUUGCAUGGAUCUUGCUUCUUUUUCCGGAUGCAGAUUCUUCCAGGUUUGGAUGUUUUCGUUCUUGUAAUUUACUAUUUUAAGAUCUGGAAGAAUCGCUCAUAGGAGCUAGUUCGUUAUCGAAACUCGAAGGUUUGAAUUCGCUUGAGCGGUCUGGAUUUUAUUGAUCUUUGCGCGUGGUGUUGUUUGUGUUAAUGCGUAUUUAGAAUGGUUAAUUGAUUUGUACGAGUAUACUUGAUUACCUCGUUGAAGGUUUCUGUGUGUUUUUUACUGUUGAUUUGGCGGAAUCUGUUUAUGUUAUAGCUUGAUGAUGUCUCUGUUCGGACUUCGGUGACGGUUUUUAUUCAUCUUUUUCUUAGUCGUUGACUUGGAAUCUAUCUGUUGAUUGCACAGAGUCCUAAUUUCUGUUUACGCUUUUUAUUCAUCUUUUUCUUAGUCGUUGUUAACCUGUUUGCUCAUCUUGGGAAGAGUAAUUCAUUAUAACUCGAUUGUUAUAUGGAAAAUAUAAAUUCUUUUUUUUCCUUUUCACCAAUGAACGGGUUUGCUUGAAUUUGUAGAUCUUGUUUUUUCCGUCGGAUUUUGUGCACAAUCCUCCUCCUUGCAUUUAGUAUUGUAAGCUUUUCUAACAACCUUCUGAACUCGGCAAUAAGAAAGGGUGGAAACUAACCAAGGUUUUGGGUAAUAAUGGAACCAAAUGGCUCUCUGUUGCAAAAGCUGUUAUUUUGAUUAUGCUGUGGAAUGCCACCCAUGCCUCCUGUGUAUAUAUAUAUAUAUAUAAUAAUAUUGUUACUACUUACACGCCUUUGGUCGGUCUUAUUUCAGAAGUAAAUAUUAGAAAAUAGCUGUAAUGACAUAUAUAGAUGAAAAGGAAAUCUUAUUAAAGUUUUGUUCUGUUUCCUCGAACCUAUUAAAAGCUUAGUAAGAACUGUUUGUUUUUCUUUACUUCAUGUGAAAACAAACCUGAGUUGUUGAAUUAUUUUUUCGUAUUUCUUGAAAUUUGGCUACGAACCCUUUUCUGGAAGAAAACAAAAAACGAAAUAAUUGGAGAUAUUCUCUUCUACAGUAGCCAACUAUUGCACGAGCACACACGGUGUGGCUUGAUCGAUCACAGGACCAUGGGUGUAGGCCUGGGCUUGGGCCCUUGGACGAGCUUUGUACAGAUUGGAAGAUGGGCCAUGGCUCUUCGACGAGGUAUGUACAGUUUGAAUGCCACUGUUAAGGGAUGUUUCAUUGGUUUAGUUUGGUUGCUUUUAUUUUAUUUUUAUGAAAUAUUUGAAACCAAUCCCUUGAUACAUUAUAAUUGAACUAACCCAGUUUGGUUCAAGAUUAGCAAGCCAAACAGAAUCAAACCAGUGGCGAAUUAAACCACUUUAAUCGUAUUCAAUUCUUUUUUCUAAUGACGUUAGCCUUGCUUGAUUCCUUUUGGACAUAAAUUUAGUUUGGAGAUCAAUAUCUUUGUUCAUGUAGGCCCUCUUUUUUUCCAUACUCUUUCAGGGUCGAUCAAAUUUAAGAUGAGUAUUAAUGCUUCUGUGUUUUGUUCAUAUGGUUUAGGGACUAAAGUAUUAGUAUCACUCUUUUUUGUUUCAUGCUUUAUGACCACACUUAUUAAAAAAAAAAAGAAACUAUAUUUGAACCUAACUAUUAGUAACUUGAUUAUUUCGAGAUAGAAACAAUACGAGCUGCCAUCCACACCAUAAUAUAUGAAGUUUUUUGAAAAAACUUGCUAGUGAAGGAAACCAUCCCUUGACAAAACUUUGUAUUGUUUUGUUAAUUUAUUGCUUGGUGGCCGAAGAAAAUUGGCUUAAUCAUAACCAAUAUGUCGAUUUAAAGAUAUUCAUUUAACAUAUUAGGUGAAGGUGAGAAUUAUGUUCUCUAUCCCUAUCUCGACCUCUCUAUAUAUAUUCUCACUUCUCUAUUAUUUUUUAUAAUAUUUUUGUUUUUUUUUUCCUAAAAAAAUAUAGAUAAAUUAUUGAUAGAAUUGAUAAAAGCUCAACAUUCACAGAAGAAUAUGGAAGGCAUGUGGAGGAAAAAGUGGAAAUGGGCAGCCCACUUUGUUUUGUUUUGUUUUGUAGCAUUAAAACAAAUGGGUAAUGAAUGAAUGAAUGAAAAUGAAAAGCUUCUAAAAGCCAAGUCCUUUGAUCAUUCAUCUUCACAAUGCCAUUGCCUUUUCUUCAACCAUUUCUUUUUCUUUUCUUCUUCAUUGUGUUUGUUUUCUUUGGUGAGAGGCCCUCAAUCGGGAUCGGACCUAUGUGAAUCGCUAUUAAAACGUUAACAUUAUCAAGCUGGAAUCAGUCGUGUUCGUGGGUUCGAUGUAAAAUUUUAGCUAAAUUAAUAAAAUUACUCACGUUG
This is a non-coding RNA of Cucurbita pepo subsp. pepo (vegetable marrow), 2598 nucleotides long. The record is from RefSeq and is a predicted model, not a curated record. NCBI's taxonomy places the organism in Eukaryota, Viridiplantae, Streptophyta, Magnoliopsida, Cucurbitales, Cucurbitaceae.